CAGGGAUGAACGCUGGCGGCGUGCCUAACACAUGCAAGUCGAACGAGAUCCAUUAAUUGAAGCUUCGGCAGAUUUUAGGAAGAUCGAGUGGCGGACGGGUGAGUAACGCGUGGGUAACCUGCCUUACAGAGGGGGAUAACAGAGAGAAAUUUCUGCUAAUACCGCAUAAGCACACAGUACCGCAUGGUACAGGGUGAAAAGAUUUAUCACUGUAAGAUGGACCCGCGUCUGAUUAGCCAGUUGGCAGGGUAACGGCCUACCAAAGCGACGAUCAGUAGCCGACCUGAGAGGGUGAUCGGCCACAUUGGGACUGAGACACGGCCCAAACUCC
This 331-nucleotide ribosomal RNA is filed under the name uncultured Lachnospiraceae bacterium. Its description in RNAcentral is "bacterial SSU rRNA". It matches the Rfam family "Bacterial small subunit ribosomal RNA", at positions 27 to 339 of the family's 1533-position model. The record is from RNAcentral. Lineage: Bacteria; Bacillati; Bacillota; Clostridia; Lachnospirales; Lachnospiraceae.